RNAcentral lists this ribosomal RNA (372 nucleotides) under Triticum aestivum (bread wheat). RNAcentral describes it as "partial small subunit ribosomal RNA". Lineage: Eukaryota; Viridiplantae; Streptophyta; Magnoliopsida; Poales; Poaceae. The record is from RNAcentral.
AUGGAAACGAUUCUAUUUGAGUAUAUUGUCUCAUUGGGUUUGUCAUUGUCGAUAGCUAUUCUUGUCGCCGUUAGGGCUGGCCGGAUGAUCCAUCACAUAAAUGCUAUUAAUGUUGAAACACAAGUAACUGAUAUAUCCAAAGAUGUUCUUAAAGAACAAAUCAUUUAUCAAUUGGAAAUACUCUAUAAAGUCUAUAGAGAUACUACUGAGGGUGUGCACUUACCGGCAGGAGUCAAUCUCCAAGAAGUAAGCACACAUCUCUUUUUUGUAGACGAGAGAGUGAGCCUUCUAAACAGUAUGUACUGUGAUCUUAUUGCAAAGGGAACUGGAAGUGAAUACUUUGGCCAAGUUAUACAAUUUCUUCUGGGAUAG